GGGUGACUAAUCUGGUAUCGUUCCAUGCGGCGGAAAUUUAAUUAAACACUGGAUUACGGUA
Molecule: small RNA, 61 nt
Filed under: Caenorhabditis elegans
Lineage: Eukaryota; Metazoa; Nematoda; Chromadorea; Rhabditida; Rhabditidae
Description: Unclassified non-coding RNA K02G10.13
Source: RNAcentral